This 422-nucleotide ribosomal RNA is filed under the name uncultured bacterium. Its description in RNAcentral is "bacterial SSU rRNA". It matches the Rfam family "Bacterial small subunit ribosomal RNA", at positions 207 to 622 of the family's 1533-position model. The record is from RNAcentral.
AAGACCUUGCGCUUUUAGAGCGGCCGAUGCCUGAUUAGCUUGUUGGUAAGGUAAAGGCUUACCAAGGCUUCGAUCAGUAGCUGGUCUGAGAGGACGACCAGCCACACUGGGACUGAGACACGGCCAGACUCCUACGGGAGGCAGCAGUGGGGAAUUUUGGACAAUGGGGGCAACCCUGAUCCAGCCAUGCCGCGUGAGUGAAGAAGGCCUUCGGGUUGUAAAGCUCUUUCAGCCGGAACGAAACGGUUACGGUUAAUACCCGUGACUAAUGACGGUACCGGAAGAAGAAGCACCGGCUAACUACGUGCCAGCAGCCGCGGUAAUACGUAGGGUGCGAGCGUUAAUCGGAAUUACUGGGCGUAAAGCGUGCGCAGGUGGUUUUGUAAGUCAGAUGUGAAAGCCCCGGGCUCAACCUGGGAACU